Non-coding RNA from Nomascus leucogenys (northern white-cheeked gibbon), 274 nucleotides. It matches the Rfam family "Metazoan signal recognition particle RNA". From Rfam's summary of the family: The signal recognition particle (SRP) is a universally conserved ribonucleoprotein. It is involved in the co-translational targeting of proteins to membranes. Lineage: Eukaryota; Metazoa; Chordata; Mammalia; Primates; Hylobatidae. The record is from Rfam.
GCAGGGUGAGGUGGCAUGUGCCUGUAAGUCCCAUCUACUCAGGAGGCUGAGGCAGGGGGAUCACUUGAGUCCAGAAGUUCUGGGCUGUAGUGCACUAUGCCAAUCGGGUGUCUGCACUAAGUUCGGCAUCAACAUCGUGACCUCCAGAGAGUGGGGGACCGGCUCAGGCUGGAAAUGAAACAGGUCAAAACUCCCAUGCUGAUCUGUAGUGGAAUCAUGCCUGUGAAAAGUCACUGCACACCAGCCUGGGCAAUAUAGCGAGACCCUGUCUCUU